RNAcentral lists this ribosomal RNA (468 nucleotides) under uncultured bacterium. Its description in RNAcentral is "partial 16S ribosomal RNA". It matches the Rfam family "Bacterial small subunit ribosomal RNA", at positions 28 to 507 of the family's 1533-position model. The record is from RNAcentral.
GACGAACGCUGGCGGCGUGCUUAACACAUGCAAGUCGAACGGAAAGGCCCUGCUUUUGUGGGGUGCUCGAGUGGCGAACGGGUGAGUAACACGUGAGUAACCUGCCCUUGACUUUGGGAUAACUUCAGGAAACUGGGGCUAAUACCGGAUAGGAGCUCCUGCUGCAUGGUGGGGGUUGGAAAGUUUCGGCGGUUGGGGAUGGACUCGCGGCUUAUCAGCUUGUUGGUGGGGUAGUGGCUUACCAAGGCUUUGACGGGUAGCCGGCCUGAGAGGGUGACCGGCCACAUUGGGACUGAGAUACGGCCCAGACUCCUACGGGAGGCAGCAGUGGGGAAUAUUGCACGAUGGGCGGAAGCCUGAUGCAGCAACGCCGCGUGCGGGAUGACGGCCUUCGGGUUGUAAACCGCUUUCGCCUGUGACGAAGCGUGAGUGACGGUAAUGGGUAAAGAAGCACCGGCUAACUACGGG